Long non-coding RNA from Ipomoea nil (Japanese morning glory), 847 nucleotides. RefSeq lists it as uncharacterized. The transcript has 3 exons. NCBI's taxonomy places the organism in Eukaryota, Viridiplantae, Streptophyta, Magnoliopsida, Solanales, Convolvulaceae. The record is from RefSeq and is a predicted model, not a curated record.
UGCUUGUAUUUGUAAUAUCUUUGUGCUAAAAAAAGAGUAAUAGAUUUAAGUGUGAGGUCUCAUAUGGUGUAUGGAACAACAUGAAGGACAAGAAAUGAUGCCCAAGUACAUGGUUAAAGAAUGUGAUUAGUUGCCAAAAUUGAUGGUUAAUCAGCUUUCACAUCACUUGGAAUGCUGUAUAUGUUUUAUGACAUGAUCUUACUUUGCAAUGAAACUUCAAUCUACUGACCUUUUCCAUGCUUGGUCCUGCAUUGAUAGGCCUAACUAUCUCUAUUAUUUAUGUUUUCAUGUUUUUCUCGUAUACAACAGAGUACUUUUUACCUUUCUUAAUUAGAAACUUUACUUAAAUUUGUGAAUUGAGAUUUUUGCCACCAUGAAGGAAUUCUCCAUUAGAAUGCCUGAAAGGGUAAUGGAGGUGGAUUAGCAUGCAAGCCUAUAGAAAGAGUAGGAUUCUUUAAUCAGUGUUGCUCGAAACUAGUGUUGUAUUUAGAACCACAGAUGUUCUUAACUAAAUGAGACUUUUGAUCAAUUUAUUAUGUGCAUGAUGAUAGAACACGGUGAAGAUAACUAUUCUAUUUUCAUAUUCUGGUGCCCAAUAAUUGUCGACGUAACUCUGUUGUUUUACUAGAAAAGUCGUGAAAUUUUAUUUUACUAUGGAAUAAAAUGAUACUGUACUAAUUCUUAGGUUUAAAGACAUGUAUAGGAAUAUAAUCCAGUGUUAGAUUAUUCAGAAUUUGCUGAAAUUUAUACUUGGUCUGGACUAUGAGAUUAUUUCUGAUAACCUUUCUCCUGUAUGAUCUCAUAAUGUAUUUGUAAUGUUUGUUAUAAUUUUUUUUUUUCUUUUGGC